GACGAACGCUGGCGGCGUGCUUAACACAUGCAAGUCGAACGGAAAGGCCCUGCUUUUGUGGGGUGCUCGGGUGGCGAACGGGUGAGUAACACGUGAGUAACCUGCCCUUGACUUUGGGAUAACUUCAGGAAACUGGGGCUAAUACCGGAUAGGAGCUCCUGCUGCAUGGUGGGGGUUGGAAAGUUUCGGCGGUUGGGGAUGGACUCGCGGCUUAUCAGCUUGUUGGUGGGGUAGUGGCUUACCAAGGCUUUGACGGGUAGCCGGCCUGAGAGGGCGACCGGCCACAUUGGGACUGAGAUACGGCCCAGACUCCUACGGGAGGCAGCAGUGGGGAAUAUUGCACAAUGGGCGGAAGCCUGAUGCAGCAACGCCGCGUGCGGGAUGACGGCCUUCGGGUUGUAAACCGCUUUCGCCUGUGACGAAGCGUGAGUGACGGUAAUGGGUAAAGAAGCACCGGCUAACUACGUG
Molecule: ribosomal RNA, 468 nt
Filed under: uncultured bacterium
Lineage: Bacteria
Description: partial 16S ribosomal RNA
Rfam family: Bacterial small subunit ribosomal RNA
Source: RNAcentral